GAUGAACGCUGGCGGCGUGCUUAACACAUGCAAGUCGAACGGAAAGGUGCUGAUUUUGUGGGGUUCACGAGUGGCGCACGGGUGAGUAACACGUGUGUAUCACGUCCUUGUCUUUCGGGUAUAUUCUGGAAACUCGGGCUAUUAUACGAUAGAAUAUAUUGAUCCAUGGUGGGCGAUGGUAAGAUUCGGUGGUUGGGGCUGGACUAGCGGCUUAUCCGCUUGCUUGUGGGGUAGUGGAUUUCCAGGUUUUUGACGGGUAGGCGGCCUGAGAGGGGAGACAGCCACAUUAGGACUGAGGUAGGGCCCAGACUCCUACGGGAGGCAACAGUCGAGAAUAUUGCACAAUGGGCCGAAGCCAGAUGCAGCAACGCCGCGAGCGUGAUGACGGCCUUCGAGGUAAAAACCGCUGUCGCCUGUGACAAAGCGGGAGUGACGGUAAUGAAUAAAAAAGCACCGGCUAACUACGUG
This 468-nucleotide ribosomal RNA is filed under the name uncultured bacterium. RNAcentral describes it as "partial 16S ribosomal RNA". It matches the Rfam family "Bacterial small subunit ribosomal RNA", at positions 28 to 507 of the family's 1533-position model. The record is from RNAcentral.